Molecule: long non-coding RNA, 1775 nt
Organism: Mytilus californianus (California mussel)
Lineage: Eukaryota; Metazoa; Mollusca; Bivalvia; Mytilida; Mytilidae
Exons: 2
Source: RefSeq, a predicted model, not a curated record
UAAAGGCAGUGCUUUAAUGCCUUUCUAGUUGCCGGGUUAAUCCUUCCUUCCGCGAUAUCCAACUUAUCUACGUGGGGGGUCAUUAAACUCUAAGUAGAUCCGGAAAUGUUGAAUUCUCUCCUCUUCUUAUUGCGAUAUAAAAUGUUUUUUGUUUCAUUUCAUUUACAUUGGGAAAUAGAGAAACGAUCAUUGUGUUUUGUUAGUUUUAAAAACUUUUGAUAUAUUAGUAUUUUGCAUUAUAAGCAGUCAACCGAUUGACAAACUAGAAUUAUUUGAAUUCCGUGUGGAAAGAGCUCGGGUUAAUUUCGAGUGUUAUCUGCAAUCUAGAUGUUUAUAAAUCAUUUCAGUCGUUGAUAUAAUAAUUAAAGGUCGACUGAACAUGAAUUAUAUUAUACAAUUUAAAGCGCAUUUCUGUUUAUGCACGUGAACCCGUCUAACGUUAUUUUCGCAGUUAUAUAAAGUAUCAAAUUAUCGAUCCUGAAUAGGUGGCGCCGUGGUAGCGGAUCCUGUUCCUCUUCUUCCGGUUUCUGCACUGUGCAACUAUUUCAGUUAUAUUUUUAAUUAACGAUGCCAAGUACUUGUUGUUGUGUACCUGGAUGUCAUUUAAGAGGAGGACAUGCAUUUCCAAAUGACUUAAAAAGAAGGAAAAGUUGGAUCAACGCCAUGGCCCAUACGCAGAUUGGACGAAAACACGAUGAUAUCGUGGAGUCCAUCUCAAUCAGCUGUUGUUUGCAAGGCACGUUUUACUGAAAAAGACUACGUGCAGGAAACUAUUCAUGGGCGCAAACCCACCAUACAGAGACUUAAGUCUACUGCAAUUCCCAGCCUAUUUUCCUGGACCAAGCAAGAGACUGAAUCGUCCGCUAAAAGAAAAAUCAGGGCAGUUUCCUGUGAAAACAAAAGAACUAAACUUGAUGAAUAUUGUAGUAGAAAUCUAGAGGAAAGUUUUGAUUGUAAAGUUGGUUUUCCUGAAGAAGUCAUUCAUAAUGCAGAAAGGAUUUAUGACUGUCCACCACCAACUGCCGAGCUAAUGUUGAGCUUCACAGAUGGAAUUACGCAAACACCAUCAAUGCCUAUGUUUUUAACAGAGAAUUUUGAAAUGAAUACACGUGACACAGCCAUGCAUUUUUAUACCGGUUUAGAGUUGUAUACUAAAUUUUUAUUUGUUUUGACCACACUUGGCAUGCUUGGUCCAGCAGCACAUUGUUUGAGAUACAUAUAUUUUCAAAUUGAUAGGGUGUCAGUUGAAAAUCAGUUUUUUUAUGACUUUGAUGAAAUUGAGGCAUCAUACAACCAACUUUGAACUGUCUAGAUUCUAGAUUGAAUCUAGUGUUAAGAAUAUUGUGUAUACAUGGAUUGUUUUUAUGUCUAAACAGUGGUGUGAGGCUAACACUUGGCCAUCUAGUGGUUUAGUCAGGUAUUUUUCACCAUCCAACUUCAAAUUAAAGUUUCCUACGACUUGGAUUAUUAUUGACAGCACAGAAUAUCCCGUGAUAAAACCUAAAGCUCCUAGAGCUCAGGCAACCUUUUCAUCAAAUAAAAACAGAAACACUGAAAAUUCUUGAAUGUUCGACACCUGGUGGUUUAGUCAACUAUGUCUCUAUGUCACAUAGAGCGAAUCAUUGGACUUGGCAAAACAUACAAAAUUUUAAUAAAUCCUAUGAAUGGAACUGAAACAAAACUUUCAUCUGAAAUAACAUUUAGUUGUUUUAUGUUGUGUAAUUUUAGAACUUGUAUUGUGCCAAAGGAUGCAUAAAUAAAAGUGACGCAAUGAA